GAUGAACGCUGGCGGCGUGCCUAAUACAUGCAAGUCGAGCGAACAGACGAGGAGCUUGCUCCUCUGACGUUAGCGGCGGACGGGUGAGUAACACGUGGAUAACCUACCUAUAAGACUGGGAUAACUUCGGGAAACCGGAGCUAAUACCGGAUAACAUGUUGAACCGCAUGGUUCAACAGUGAAAGACGGUUUUGCUGUCACUUAUAGAUGGAUCCGCGCCGCAUUAGCUAGUUGGUAAGGUAACGGCUUACCAAGGCAACGAUGCGUAGCCGACCUGAGAGGGUGAUCGGCCACACUGGAACUGAGACACGGUCCAGACUCCUACGGGAGGCAGCAGUAGGGAAUCUUCCGCAAUGGGCGAAAGCCUGACGGAGCAACGCCGCGUGAGUGAAGAAGGUCUUCGGAUCGUAAAACUCUGUUAUUAGGGAAGAACAAAUGUGUAAGUAGCUAUGCACGUCUUGACGGUACCUAAUCAGAAAGCCACGGCUAACUACGUG
RNAcentral lists this ribosomal RNA (497 nucleotides) under uncultured bacterium. Its description in RNAcentral is "partial 16S ribosomal RNA". It matches the Rfam family "Bacterial small subunit ribosomal RNA", at positions 28 to 507 of the family's 1533-position model. The record is from RNAcentral.